AUACGGAGGGUGCGAGCGUUGUUCGGAAUUAUUGGGCGUAAAGAGCAUGUAGGCGGUCUGUUAAGUCUGGUGUGAAAGCCCGGGGCUCAACCCCGGAAGUGCAUUGGAUACUGGCAGACUUGAGUAUGGGAGAGGAAAGCGGAAUUCCGAGUGUAGGAGUGAAAUCCGUAGAUAUUCGGAGGAACACCAGUGGCGAAGGCGGCUUUCUGGACCAAUACUGACGCUGAGAUGCGAAAGCGUGGGGAGCAAACAGGAGUAGAAACCCCAGUAGUCC
Molecule: ribosomal RNA, 274 nt
Filed under: uncultured bacterium
Lineage: Bacteria
Description: partial 16S ribosomal RNA
Rfam family: Bacterial small subunit ribosomal RNA
Source: RNAcentral